This is a long non-coding RNA of Lemur catta (Ring-tailed lemur), 3861 nucleotides long. RefSeq lists it as uncharacterized. The record is from RefSeq and is a predicted model, not a curated record. Lineage: Eukaryota; Metazoa; Chordata; Mammalia; Primates; Lemuridae. The transcript is spliced from 2 exons.
GAUGUUUUGAUGUUUUAUUUUUGUUCUUUUUACAAGAGGACUGGGCAGGGAGGAGUUGGUGUCCACUAGCCCAGUCCAGCCAGGACAGGCUCGAGUGCUGGCUUGGACCGUGUCCCGGUGGUGGGUGCUGAACCUGCUUGAGGAGGAGGGCAAAGGUCAGGGUGCGUUUCACAGGGGCCUGUGCUUCCUUGGUCUUGGCAGCCACUUGAAGUAAAGUGUGGGAGGAGUCGGAUCAGAGGAGCAAGGGCAGGUGGCCUUUGUUCCUCUGUCCCUACAGCCAUCACAUAAGGCCACGAUUCUGCCACUCAGGGAGCUGCCUCACUCGGGGGACGUCAGGGGCCCACGCUUUGGGCUUCAGACCGCUGUGCGGGGGCCGCCUCUCAGGGUCUGCUGCUGAGCUGCAGGGCCCCAGCGUCGGACUGGCCUGCCACGGGGAGGGGGUCCUGCCACGGGGGCCCUGUCACGGAGGCCCUUGUCACAGAGCAGGGCCUGCCUUGGGGGCUGCCACGGGGGCAGGGGCUCAGCACUGCGUUCAGUGUUUGGUGGGCACAUGUGACUAAUGCCAGCCGCACCUGCUCCAGCGGCCCCUCCUUGGGACCCCAGGAGCAGAGCGUCACCUCCCCGGGUCACUGGAGCCAGAGGCCUGGGUCCCCGCUUAGACCCCAUUUUGUGGUUUCUUUCUCCUGAGUCUGGCUCCGGGCAGGGGGCCCGCGGAGGUGCAGGGACCAGGAGGCCCCCGCUCUGCAGGUUUGGGUGGGCCUCACCCUAACCCCAACCCUGGCCCAUGCAGGUGUCGCUGCCCUGCAGCCUCCACCCCUCUGUCCCCGGCAUCGAGUGUCUCCCGAGCCCCGCUGUGCCGCCCCUGGUCGGUUCCGCCACUCCCCCGCCUGCACUCCUCGCUGCUCCCUGCCCCACCGCCCGGCUAAAUCGACUCCUGGAAAAUAAGGCACGAACUUACUUCCACUCCCUCCGGCCUGCACAGCGCCCGGCACAAGCUGGGGGCUUGUGAGCCAUGAGAACGAGGCGGGGAUCUUGGGUUCCACCUGCAAAUCCAUGUUCUCCCUUAGGGACACGUGCGGAGUAUUUCCCCGCCCGUGUAGCAGGUGUGUCCAGGUGAGGGAAGUGCAGCCACGGACCGGGAGCAGACGCAAGCCACGUGCAGCCCAGUGCAGACCCUCCUGGGCUUUGGCCGGGUGCAGGUGUCCCCAGGUGCGGGAGUCCCCAGGUCUCUAGGUCAAUAAACUCGGAGUUGUCGGCCGAGAAUCCUGUGAUUCGGAAUAAGCUGUGAGUAAGUGUCUUCACGAUGGGGCGUCGUCAGCUGCUGAGAGGAGACGGGGAGUUUGCAGGAGGUACUGAGAGAAGUGACCAUGAGGAGGAGGCUUUCGCCCCGGCGGCAGUUCCCCGGGCUCCGCUCCCGCGGUCUCUGCUGUUGUUGGCACCCGCAUGGGUGUGGCACGUCAGUCACAGCAUGAGCCGACAUCGAUACGUCGUUAUUGUGAUCUACCUUAUGCCAGUCGCCUGCCUUAGUCUGGGUUGCUGUAACAGAAAACCGGAGGCUGGGCGAUUCACAAAGAAAAGAAAUUCACUGGGCUCGUGGUUCUGGAGGCCGCACAGUCUGAGGUCAAGGGGCUCGUGUGGUGAGGGCCGUCCUGCGGGACGUCCCGUGGGAGACGGUGACGGGGUGACACCCCACCACCAAAGGGGACAACGAACUUCUUCCUCCUCCUCCUCUUCUUUUGGGAUGGUUUUUGAGACACCGCACUAAUCCUCGGGGGUGCGCAUGCUCACAGUCCCUUUACUUUGAGGAGUGGCGGCAGGACAGGGUGGGACGGAGGACGUCCCCGGGGCGGGAGGGCCUGAGGACAGGUCGGGAGACGCUCCUCACAUGAGGGUCUAAAGGCAGCUGGGGUGGGAGGGGCGGCCUGUGAGAUCCGGCGUCGGUGUGGAGACGCUACUGCGUGACAGAUGAAUUCAGAACAUGGUGCUGGCGGCGGCACACGCCAGUUGGAUCCAUUCUGCAUGGCGUGUGGGCACUAGGGCCAUUCCAGCUUAAUCAACUAGUUGCUGACGCUUUUUACUGCUCCCGCAGGCCUGGCUGCGGGCGCUUUGCUUUGGGGAGAUGCUCUUGGGGAGGAGCAGACUGCUGAGAACAAACGCACUGUGUUGGGUUGAGGAACACGUGACCUUCUCGUUUGUUUCUGUAUGUUAACAGAGGCAGCAGUACACACGGUGUGGAUUUCCGAACACGACAACUGGGAGGACGCGAUGGCCCGUGUGCUCUCGGGGAGAAGGCGGCCUCAGGAGGGGUGAAGACAACGUCUGUGGCUCUGUCACCGUGCAAGCGGCUGGUGCCCCGCGUAGGGCCGACUCGCGCACAGGGUAGAACAUGACACUUCUAGGCAGAGCCGAGGCUGAGCAGGGCGGACUUCAGGACCCGACCAGGCGCCCGCCACAGCCCGCCGGACGCAGGGUGCUGUCACUGCCAUUCUCGGGGCAGCCCACUGAGUUAGAAGGAUUCAAUUUCAUCCCAGCAGUUUCACCAGGAAUGUGGUUAACUGUGGCCGAUAGAGAUGGCAUUGAAGUGUUUGCUAUUUGAGUCUUCCCAUCUGGCUUGGUUUUGUUUAUCAUUAUUGCGAGACAGGUGUUCAGAAAAUAAAACAUAUUUUAGAGUGAAUCUGAUUCACAUUUCCAAGCCAAGUUUUCAUUUAAUAAUUCCCUUUAUCAGAUGUAGAGGCAGACAGUGAGCAUUUCUGCCAGCCUGGGAGUUUCUGGGCACUUUCCUGCUGUCCCAGUGCUGUAGUUGUCACCACAGGUACACUCGGUACAUUCCGUGGGAGUGAAUAGUUCAGUGAACUCUAAAGUACUUAUUUUUUCUAACAUACUUAUUCUGACACAAUAACAGCAACAGGCUAUUGACUGUGGCAUGUUAUAAUGUAUUCUCUGCAGCUGGAAAAAGUAUAUAUUUUGGAAAGAUGAGUGUAGGACUCAUUUGACAUUACAUCAUCAGAUGGGUCUAACAAAGUCUUUAGAAAGAGAUCUCUGGGCCUAACAGGCUGAGUGCAGAGUGUCCGUGCACCUCUGGGAGGCUCUCUUCUGCUUAUUUAGAAAAAUCCUAUAGGACAUCACUGAUGAUUUAUUUGAAUAUCGGUUUAAGAAGAAUCCUUACCAUUUAGAGAUACAUACUGAAAUAUUUACAGAUAGAGCAACAUGACACGUGGGAUUUAUUUCACAAUAAUCAGGUUUGGGGGUCGCAGGCCUGUCUGACACAGGACGGCUCCGAGCUGAGAAUUGCUGGACAGGGCAAUAGGAAUGGCAGCAUUUUGAAAAUCUUCACAAUUAAUAAUUUUAAAUGUGUUAGAGGAAAUAAUCUUCCUGCACCGAUUUCACUGGCAAUUUAUGUACAAAUUACCUGCUGAUUUUGCUUCUCGUCUCAUCGCUGCCAAGGGUCACGGCAGCCCCUGGAGAGGGUGUGUGCAAAGCAGGUCCCCGGGGACGGUCUCGGUGGGAUUCGGAGCGGAGGGUGGCUGGAGCCACGGCAGGCGGCCGGCGGCAGACCCGGGACCGACCGCAGGCUUGAGAGCCCUUGAUGGAAAGAAAUCCCUCUCCAGCGACUCUUGAACACGCUACUCUGCGUUAGAUUUUACGACGUAGACUGUGAACGUCCUGGACUUUCAGGUUCUGUUUCGUGGAUCUUUAUGUCUGUCCUUAUGCUGAUACCAGAUGAGCGUGAUCACCGUAGCGUUAUCGCAAGUCUGAGAUCCAGUAAUGCCGGUGCCCAAACUGCCUUCUUUUGCAAAGUUGUUUUGGAUCCUUUUCAGGUCCAUAUAAAUAAAUAGUUAUUUGUCAAUUUCCUCAAAACCA